GAUGAAGAACGUUAGCGAAAUGCGAUACGUAAUGUGAAUUGCAGAAUUCAGUGAAUCAUCGAGUCUUUGAACGCACAUUGCGCCCCCUGGUAUUCCGGGGGGCAUGCCUGUCCGAGCGUCAUUGCUGCCCUCAAGCCCGGCUUGUGUGUUGGGUCUCGUCCCCCUUCCCGGGGGGACGGGCCCGAAAGGCAGCGGCGGCACCGCGUCCGGUCCUCGAGCGUAUGGGGCUUUGUCACCCGCUCUGUAGGCCCGGCCGGCGCUUGCCGAUCAACCAAAACUUUUUUCCAGGUUGACCUCGGAUCAGGUAGGGAUACCCGCUGAACUUAAGCAUAUCAAUAAGCGGAGGA
Molecule: unclassified non-coding RNA, 347 nt
Filed under: soil metagenome
Description: partial contains 5.8S ribosomal RNA, internal transcribed spacer 2, and large subunit ribosomal RNA
Rfam family: 5.8S ribosomal RNA (bases 1-121)
Source: RNAcentral